UACAGAGACUGCAAGCGUUGUUCGGAUUCAUUGGGCGUAAAGGGUGCGCAGGCGGUGUGCUAAGUCGGAUGUGAAAUCUCACAGCCUAACUGUGAUAGGUCAUUCGAAACUGGCAUGCUAGAGGAUUGGAGAGGAGACUGGAAUAGUUGGUGUAGCAGUGAAAUGCGUAGAGAUCAACUAGGACACCGGUGGCGAAGGCGAGUCUCUGACAAUUCCUGACGCUCAGGCACGAAAGCCAGGGGAGCAAACGGG
Molecule: ribosomal RNA, 252 nt
Filed under: uncultured bacterium
Lineage: Bacteria
Description: partial 16S ribosomal RNA
Rfam family: Bacterial small subunit ribosomal RNA
Source: RNAcentral